CUGCCACUUAAUACUUACUUGACAAUGUAAAACAUGAUCAAAAUGAUUCAAGCAGUUUCCCUGCAACAGUCUGUCAUUGUGAUUGCACGAGACUAGAUUUAAAGUUACGCAUUGACGCGAGCAGCGAUUUCCUCCCAUGCCCUCUCCCUCUCCUUUGCAGCUGCUGCUGUAUUGCACUUUCUUUUAAAAACGUGCUGUAAUUCGCUGUUGGCUUGCUGCUGCCCCCUCCUUCUCCCUGUUUCCAUUGGUUGAUCAUUGAAUCUGGGCUCCACAGAUGCUGGCUGUUUAUGUCUGGCGUGCACGUGCUUAACUCCAGGUCAAACUACUCGGAGUUGUUAAAUCCGUCUCAAAUCAGGUGUUGUGAAACCGGAAACUCCGAGUUUCCUAACUCAGAGUAGAUCAACUCAGAGUUAAGGGGCUC
RNAcentral lists this long non-coding RNA (421 nucleotides) under Xyrichtys novacula (pearly razorfish). Lineage: Eukaryota; Metazoa; Chordata; Actinopteri; Labriformes; Labridae. The record is from RNAcentral.